CACAUGACUCUCGGCAACGGAUAUCUCGGCUCUCGCAUCGAUGAAGAACGUAGCGAAAUGCGAUACCUGGUGUGAAUUGCAGAAUCCCGCGAACCAUCGAGUUUUUGAACGCAAGUUGCGCCCGAGGCCUCUUGGUUGAGGGCACGCCUGCCUGGGCGUCACGC
RNAcentral lists this ribosomal RNA (164 nucleotides) under Catabrosa aquatica. RNAcentral's name for it is "5.8S ribosomal RNA". It matches the Rfam family "5.8S ribosomal RNA". Rfam says of the family: 5.8S ribosomal RNA (5.8S rRNA) is a component of the large subunit of the eukaryotic ribosome. It is transcribed by RNA polymerase I as part of the 45S precursor that also contains 18S and 28S rRNA. The record is from RNAcentral. Lineage: Eukaryota; Viridiplantae; Streptophyta; Magnoliopsida; Poales; Poaceae.